CUUCAUUUCCGAUAUAUUCCCUUAUACAAAACCUCCCUAAAACGGCACCCACUUGAUAGUAUUUACUUUAUACUUGAUAGAAAACUUUCUAAGUCUUGCCAGUGGGAAUAUACCUUCUGUUUUCAAGCCGCUAGCCGUUGGCUUGCCAUGGGCCCUUGGCCGCUGUCACGUUAUUUGUCGAUGUAAUUAGCGUAAUUAAAAUUACAUGGAGGCAUUAGGAAGGCUUAUGUUAGUACAACAUCAACAACAGACGCGCGCCAAGCAAAUAGAUCGCGGUGGGUGUAAGUGGAGUUAUGAAAGCGCUACGAGGAAUGAUUAAAAACGCAAUGUAAACCAAGCCGGAAUGAAUGCAGAUCUCCUGCAAAGAGUUUGCGGUGACCGCCCGAAAUUUAUGCUAAAUUUUAUACAUCUCCGGGGGGUUGUGGACCAGGUAAAUACACCUUAAUAUUAAUGUAUUGUACAUAUUGGCACUCACGUCUUUUCGACCAAGCUGGAACGUUGCUCUCCUGCAAAGAAUUAAAUUGGCAAAGAUCUUGGACUAACCCUCCGUAAUUUAUGCUAAAUCUAAUAGUUUUCAGGGGGGGGAGAUUCGAACAUAUUGCCACUUGUCAUUUCACACAUAAUUUCCAACCUGAACCGAAUUUGAGCCUCCUGCAAAGCAUUUAGACUAACCCCCCGAUAUUUACUUUAAGUCUUAUAGAUUUCCGGGGGAGUGUGGGAUUUUUUAACAUUGGCCAAUUUUAUAUUGAUGUAUAUUGCGUGUACAAAUAACAUUUCGUAGCUUUACAUAACAUGUUUAACUUUGAAAACCGAGUUCAAAGUUACCCCGGACGUUGGGCAAAAUGGCUUUCGGAAGCGCGCACAUAAAACAAACGAGUUUUCAUUAUAUUGUGUUAAUCUUUAAAGCGCGCACAAAAGCCUCUAGCGAGGUGGAGCUCUGGGGAGGGUAUGAGAAGUGAACAUGUGUUUCACAAGUACCGCUUAAGGCUUUAGUGUCGUGUCGUGAAGUGUUAAGAAAAUAAAAUGUCAGCUACGCCUGUUCAUUUUAUAGCGAAAAACAAAUAAACACGCAGUACAUAUUGUAUUAGUACUCUUGAAAGACGUGUUCUCGCAUAGGAUAGUUAGUCUUUUCUUGCUUUGAGCAAGACAAUUUCCUUAAUUUAUAUUAUAUAUCAAAAUGCUAUAUGUUGAAAAACAGUG
Paramuricea clavata is the source of this 1200-nucleotide non-coding RNA. The record is from the annotation of a GenBank genome assembly. NCBI's taxonomy places the organism in Eukaryota, Metazoa, Cnidaria, Anthozoa, Malacalcyonacea, Plexauridae.